GCUUAUUCUCAGGGCGGGGCGAAAUUCCCCACCGGCGGUAAAUCAGCAACAGCUGAAAGCCCGCGAGCGCUUCCGAUCGCCCGAUUGGAAGGUCAGCAGAUCCGGUGUGAUUCCGGGGCCGACGGUUAAAGUCCGGAUGGGAGAGGAUAACG
RNAcentral lists this non-coding RNA (152 nucleotides) under Mixta gaviniae. RNAcentral's name for it is "Pantoea gaviniae FMN sequence". It matches the Rfam family "FMN riboswitch aptamer (RFN element)". From Rfam's summary of the family: The RFN element is a highly conserved domain that is found frequently in the 5'-untranslated regions of prokaryotic mRNAs that encode for flavin mononucleotide (FMN) biosynthesis and transport proteins. This element is a metabolite-dependent riboswitch that directly binds FMN in the absence of proteins. Lineage: Bacteria; Pseudomonadati; Pseudomonadota; Gammaproteobacteria; Enterobacterales; Erwiniaceae. The record is from RNAcentral.